RNAcentral lists this ribosomal RNA (274 nucleotides) under uncultured bacterium. RNAcentral's name for it is "partial 16S ribosomal RNA". It matches the Rfam family "Archaeal small subunit ribosomal RNA", at positions 473 to 747 of the family's 1478-position model. The record is from RNAcentral.
AAACCAGCACCUCAAGUGGUCAGGAUGAUUAUUGGGCCUAAAGCAUCCGUAGCCGGCUCAGUAAGUUUUCGGUUAAAUCUGUACGCUCAACGUACAGGCUGCCGGAAAUACUGCAGAGCUAGGGAGUGGGAGAGGUAGACGGUACUCGGGAGGAAGGGGUAAAAUCCUUUGAUCUCUCGAUGACCACCUGUGGCGAAGGCGGUCUACCAGAACACGUCCGACGGUGAGGGAUGAAAGCUGGGGGAGCAAACCGGAUUAGAAACCCGGGUAGUCC